Molecule: long non-coding RNA, 148 nt
Organism: Bufo bufo (common toad)
Lineage: Eukaryota; Metazoa; Chordata; Amphibia; Anura; Bufonidae
Exons: 3
Source: RefSeq, a predicted model, not a curated record
GUUCCCCCUAGAGGGUGCAUAUCGAAACUAAAGUUUCAGUUAUGAAGUUAAAAUCGUUCAUGUGUGCAAUUGAUAUGCCAGAAAACGGUAGAUUAAAUGAAAGUUUGUGGAUAAGUGUAUUGAAGGAAAAGAGAAGAAUGGUCAUUAU